Molecule: ribosomal RNA, 271 nt
Filed under: uncultured prokaryote
Description: partial 16S ribosomal RNA
Rfam family: Bacterial small subunit ribosomal RNA
Source: RNAcentral
ACGUAGGGUCCAAGCGUUAAUCGGAAUUACUGGGCGUAAAGCGUGCGCAGGCGGUUGGCAAAGUCAGCUGUGAAAGCCCCGGGCUUAACCUGGGAAUGGCGGUUGAAACUAGUCGACUAGAAUCUGGCAGAGGGGGGUGGAAUUCCACGUGUAGCAGUGAAAUGCGUAGAGAUCCGGAAGAACACCGGUGGCGAAGGCGGCCCGCUGGGCAGGAAGACGGAGCAAUCCGUCGGCUGACGCUGAGGCGCGACAGCGUGGGGAGCAAACAGGA